Molecule: long non-coding RNA, 728 nt
Organism: Mauremys mutica (yellowpond turtle)
Lineage: Eukaryota; Metazoa; Chordata; Testudines; Geoemydidae
Exons: 7
Source: RefSeq, a predicted model, not a curated record
GCCUGUCUCUCCACAAAUGAGUAAUCCAAUCUGUGGUCAAGGACCAUAGCAAAUUAAAAACCAAUCUAACCCAGAGGCAGAAAGAAGUACAGUACCAGAUGCUUUAUUGGAAAACUGUGCUAAUUACAUAGGUGAAGACAGACAACGGAGCAGGAAUUCAGCUUAACUUAAGAGUGACCAGACUUUGAAGGUGAAAAUACCUGAGCAUUCACUCCAAAAAUCCUAGCAGUUGUGCUUAGCACCAAAAAAGAAAAGUCAUAAAUAGCUGCUGGAAUAGCUUCAACCACCACUGACAUGCAGCUAUGAUGGAGUUCCACAGUACAGUGCAGAGCUUUGGAGAACCGUUCAGAAGAAGAAGUGGGGAAUAAUGCCAUCACUAGUUAAAAACUUAGCAUGAAAUUGGAAUCUCUAACGACUAUAAGGUGAAAGAAGGACAUUGGGUUUACAUCUCAUCCAAAGUACCACACCUCCAGAAGCACAGAUUCUGGUAGCACCAUGCUAAGAAAUGGAUUAAGUACUGACUCAAAGGGAAGAGUGCCACCUAUUGAAUAACUAACCGCCUCAAGGAGUGGAAUUAUACAUUAUCCAAGAACCUGCAAUAGCCUAGGGUUAUAAGUGUGAAUUAUUUUUCUCUUGAAUGGAUGGCACGCAACCUUAAUUAUGUACAGAUCGGCUGAUGGCAAUAUUCAGAAGGAGAUAUCUACCAGAAUUGGUCUUGCAGCAAACGC